RNAcentral lists this ribosomal RNA (207 nucleotides) under uncultured bacterium. RNAcentral's name for it is "partial 16S ribosomal RNA". It matches the Rfam family "Bacterial small subunit ribosomal RNA", at positions 568 to 774 of the family's 1533-position model. The record is from RNAcentral.
AGCGUAGACGGUGAGACAAGUCUGAAGUGAAAUCCCGGGGCUCAACCCCGGAACUGCUUUGGAAACUGUCUGACUAGAGUGCAGGGGAGGUAAGUGGAAUUCCUAGUGUAGCGGUGAAAUGCGUAGAUAUUAGGAGGAACACCAGUGGCGAAGGCGGCUUACUGGACUGUAACUGACGUUGAGGCUCGAAAGCGUGGGGAGCAAACA